CAUCUGCCCAUUCAGCCACUUGGUUUGACUCACAGGCUUGGACUUGACUUUCAUUCCUACCGCUGCAGCCACUGAUGAUAAUUUGCAGCAUGUGGAAUCUAGUUACCUAAACAGGAUGGAACCCAGGCCUCCUGCACUGGGAGUUUGGAGUCUUAGCCACUGGAGGACCAGCGGGGAAGUCCCAGACUACUUCUUCAAAAUGCUCAGUCGUGUCCGACUCUUUGUGACCCCAUGGACUGCAGCACACCAGGAUUCCCUGUCCUUCACCAUCUCCCGGAAUUUGCUCAGACUCAUGUCCAUUGAGUCAGUGAUGCCAUCCAACCAUCUCGCCCUCUGUUGUCUGCUUCCCCUCCUGUCAUACAGCAUGUUAAACUUGAUUGCACACCACACUGCAACAUCAAUAAGAGAAGUAAUAUUAAGCAAACCCAGAGAUACUAAGUCCGAAAAAAACAUUUGAUUUGUUCAUUUGAAAACAAAGUAGAACUAUUGCUCAAAAAAGGGCUGAGUCUAUUUAUUGAUACUUUAGGAGUUCUCAAUCCUGAGGAAUUAAUAUUCUGAGUGAUAGAAAAUAGAGUUUAGCCUUUCAGGGAAAAAAAGUAGUUCUUCGAAGUAACUCAUCCUCCUGAAAUGUUGCUUAGCCUCUGAUUCCAAGCCAGCCCCUAUACUGCUCCUGUCUGAUUCUAACUUGCAGCCUUUCAAAAGGCCCCUUUCCUUG
Long non-coding RNA from Bos taurus (domestic cattle), 715 nucleotides. The record is from Ensembl. Lineage: Eukaryota; Metazoa; Chordata; Mammalia; Artiodactyla; Bovidae.